This 119-nucleotide ribosomal RNA is filed under the name Pteropus alecto (black flying fox). Lineage: Eukaryota; Metazoa; Chordata; Mammalia; Chiroptera; Pteropodidae. The record is from RNAcentral.
GUCUACAGCCAUGCCACCCUGAACAAGCCCGAUCCUGUCUGAUCUCGGAAGCUAAGCAAGGUCGGGCCUGAUUAGUACUUGGAUGGGAGACCACCUAGGAAUAUCAGGUGCUGUAGGCA